UUUUCUUUGGAUGGCUUGGCAAAUAUAUUUUAUUACAUAUAGAUGAAAAGUUAUUUCAAUUGAUUUUAAUUGUUUGAAGACCAGGGAUGAAAUAUGGCUUUACAAACUUCAAAUGACUGUUCUUCAUUCACAUUCCUGGACUGUCAGCCUCAGAUGCAGAGCAACACAUCCUUGAACGGAAAUGGAAAUAUGAGUGUGGAAGUUACCAAUACCACCUGUUGCAAUGCAUCUGUCAUGACAAAAAACCCAUCCACACGACAGAAAGAGAUGGACUCGGUGCGGAUCAUGCUUUACUCUCUCAUCUUCCUGCUCAGCGUCUUUGGCAACCUUCUAAUUAUCGUAGUCCUGACGGUCAACAAGCGUAUGCGCACAGUCACCAACUCCUUUCUGUUGUCAUUGGCCGUCAGCGAUCUCAUGAUGGCCGUCUUCUGCAUGCCCUUCACACUCAUCCCCAACAUCCUGGAGGAUUUCAUCUUCGGAGCUGCCAUGUGCAAGACUGUCACCUACUUCAUGGGGCUCUCCGUCAGCAUAUCCACCUUCAGCCUCGUUGCCAUAGCAAUCGAAAGAUACAGCGCAAUCUGCAACCCGCUGAAGUCGCGGGCUUGGCAGACCCGUUCCCAUGCCUACCGGGUCAUUGCCGCAACCUGGGCAUUAUCCCUGGUCAUCAUGGUGCCGUAUCCAGUCUUCAGCCACCUCAAGGCUUUCCACAAACCGGAUCGAACCAAGGGACACAUGUGUCGCUUAGACUGGCCUAGCGGUGAGAUAGAACAGACAUGGUACAUGCUGCUGCUUUUCAUCUUGUUCUUCAUCCCGGGGUUGGUUAUGAUCGUUGCCUAUGGUCUAAUCUCCAGAGAGUUGUAUCGUGGUAUGAAGUUUGAGCUCGACCUGAACAAAGAAAGUACCGCACUGAAGAAUGGUGUGAACACCAAUGUGAAAACCAGCAAUACUGAAACCGACGAUGAUGGCUGCUACAUCCAGGUUUCCAAGAAGCCGCCGGCCAUAGAGUUCUCCACCCUCACCGCCCCCACCCUGGCCCCACCUAAACCCAAAGUAUCAGCCGAGCACCCCCGUAGUAACACAUCAGAAGCCAAACUCCUGGCCAAGAAGCGUGUGAUCCGUAUGCUCAUUGUCACUGCUGUUCUCUUCUUCGUCUGCUGGAUGCCUCUGUACUCGGCCAACACGUGGAAGGCAUUCCACAUCAGCUCGGCACACCGGCUCCUCUCAGGAGCUCCCAUCUCAUUCAUCCACCUGUUAAGCUACACGUCGGCAUGUGUCAAUCCCAUUAUCUAUUGUUUCAUGAAUACACGUUUCCGCAAGGCGUUGCUCGCCACCUUUGCCCGCUGUCGCCCAUCAUGCUGUCAACGCCGCCGGGGCAGACGAGAUGGCGGGGACGAGGAAACCGGGACCAUGUGUCCUUCAUCCAUGUCGAAGUUCAGCUAUACCACAGUGAGCAUUGCAGGGACCUGCUGACUGUGUGUGGAGUCCAUAAAACAGCCUUAAUCUCAGUACGACUUCCUAAUUUGACACUGUAUAAAGGGGAAUCUCAGCAGGCUAUAGCAGUUGGAAACAAAGGAAUCAAUGCUACACGGUAACACACAAUAAGGAAAGUAAAGCAAGAUAUGUGACCGAAGACUAGAUGCUGUUGCUGGGCAGUUGAUGUUUGAUGAUACCUCACUGGAAAUGACCAUGUUGAAAACAAGUUGAAAAUAACUAUAUAGCUGCAAUGCUCAAUUACCCAUUUUUUGUAACAGAAAUGUAAUUGUGACAUGCUAAUAAUGCAUUAUUUCUCAAACUUGAUUUUACAAAAACCUGAAUAGAUAAUUUGGUGUUUUUAGUUCCUAUACUCAUCAAGUAUUGAAUAACAGGUUAUCAAGUAAUGUCCCAUGCAUGAAACGUUACAAAAGCAAAUGUGUAAAUCAUGCGUAAAAUUUUCAGUAGGGCUGUUUCCCACAUUACGUCCUCUGAAAAACUUUUAUAUUUACCACAGACACUGUAUAACUAGCCAAAUGGGUCAUUUGUUUCAAGUCUCUUAGCAUGAUUAGAGCUAAGAAAAUUCCAUUACUUCCCUUUCCUGCAUUACAUGACACCAAGUGGCCCACAUAUUGACUUGUAUAUAACUUGAAAAAUAUAUGUUCAAUUGCAGUCUUGCAAUUGGAGUCUUGCUGUGUCAAACAUCUUAAAUUACAUUUGGUAACACUUCACAUUGCAUUCUGAUGAAUUAUAACAGCAUGCUUAAAUUAACGUGUUACUAGGUAGUAAUCUCUUUGCUUUCAUUUUGUUUGCUGAUCAGCAUACAGUAGCAUUUGCCAGAAGUCUCAAUAUACCUUGUUUUCUCACUUUUCUACAAUUUUAAUAACAGGCAUACAACUGUGGUGUGGCUCUCACUUGUGCUUUACAAAAAAUAUAUGUAUUACUUAAAGCACAUUUCAUUAUACAAGGAUAAUCUCAAAAUGCAUAAAAAGGAUAAUGAAAUAUUUUAAAGACUUUAUCCACUGUAAAUACAGUAUUAUAAUAUAAUUAAAGAAAGUAAAGAAAGAAUCAAACUCUAGGAAAAAAGGUAGGUCAGCUAAUAAAGAUUGUUCUUCAAACCAACCCAACAGCCAAUAUGUCCCUGUGAUUGUCAGGAUGUGAGGUGCGUGGGAAGAAAAGGCUUGGUCCCCCAUUGUUCACAGCCAGGUCCAGGGAACGUAAAGUAGUCUGGAGUGCCUUGACGAUAAGACCAUAAAGUGUCUGGAGUAUAUAAGGGUAGAGAAGAUCAGACAGUUUAACAGGUCCAGUGCCAUUUGUAGGGAAGGCAAUUACAUCAUUUGAGGGACAGUUAGCCAAUAGAGGUCAGAAAGGGUGGGGAUGAUGUUUGUGUAAGAAUCCUUGCAGGACUAUAAAUAAUUAGUUUUAAUUAAUUUCUUGAGUUAGCUGGCAAUAACUCCUUUCCCAUAAUCAAUUCUGGCGAUAGGUUGUGUAGAAAUGACUAAUGUGGUUGUUGAAGGAGAGAGCGGGGUCACAUUUCAUAUCCAGGAUGUUAUGACUGAGGAAGGGAAAUAAUGAGGUAUUGUGGAUCCUGAAGGAGUUGGUGCUGGGGGGUGUCUAUCAGUACUGAUUAUGUCUUUUAAAGUUGUAGGAAGUAGUUCUGCAUUUCUCUUCCAGACUGUUGAACAUCCACAGAGCUGUGUCAGGGUUCGUACACCGGGGUAUUCUCUGCAUAGCAUUGGAGUUGGUUACUGUGCUGUCUGAACAUUUGGCCCAGUGGGGGAAAGAAGAGAAUAGGUCCUAGUGGUACACCACAGGUAAUGGUGGACUACUCUGAUAUUGCCUCACAAGAGUGACAGCUUGUGGUUUAAGACAGUCCUUUUGAGACACUGGAGAAUAUUGGUUUGUUGAAAACAACCCUUAGGACCAGAUGAAACAGGGUGGUGGGGGAUCUUGUAUCUGCAGCAAAGAGCAAGCCAUUUUCAAUCUUCUUUAAGGCUGUCUUUACUGUGCAUGGGUCUGAAGCCAGACUGAAGAGCUUUAUGAAACUGGUUAGUGCUAAGGGUGUGAAGUUAAGAGUGAAGUUCAUUAGUCAGGUUAGAAAUCCAGGUGUUUCCAUGCAGUAUGUGCUUCCUUGGUGUGUAAAAAAUCAAUCACUCUGUUAUGAAAGAACUAUUGUCUUUCAUGUGCAAGCAGUAAAAGCAUUGCCAUGUUAAUCUCUUAAUACCAACAAGGAUGCCGCAAAAUAUGUUGGCAGUCUCGAACACUUUUGAAAUAUUGUAUUUACAAUAUAUAUUAUUCCAUUUUAUGAAAUAUACAAUGUGACUACAUUACACAUUAGUAGAGUUUGGUUUUAUUGGUUAAUUAGAAGCAUAAUAUAUGAUAUUAAGUAAUGUACGUAUUAGCAUGUAUGUAGCCUUAUUCUCUAUGAAAAAGUUACUAUCUUGUACCUAAAAGGGUUUUUCAGUUGUCCCCAUAACAUUCUUUGAAGAAACCUUUUUGGUUGUAGUUACAACACUUUUCUGUUCCAUGUAGAAUACUUUCCACAGAGGAUUCUACAUAGAACUCAAACAGGCUCAUAGAUUAGAUUAAACUUUAUUGUCACUAAACAGUACAACUACAGAACAACGAAAUGCUGUGAAAUUCUAAAUGUGCAGUGAGGGCAAAUUGAAGGUGCAACAUUGCAUUUGCAACUGAAAUGUAGGUAU
Molecule: RNA transcript, 4175 nt
Organism: Esox lucius (northern pike)
Lineage: Eukaryota; Metazoa; Chordata; Actinopteri; Esociformes; Esocidae
Gene: cckbra
Gene name: 7tmA_CCK-BR domain-containing protein
Exons: 6
Source: RefSeq, a predicted model, not a curated record